This 650-nucleotide long non-coding RNA is filed under the name Mus spicilegus (steppe mouse). RNAcentral's name for it is "lncRNA (ENSMSIG00000020329.1)". The record is from RNAcentral. Lineage: Eukaryota; Metazoa; Chordata; Mammalia; Rodentia; Muridae.
AUGGAAGUCAGACAGCAGAGAUGGGGUCAUGUGUCUGAAGGAAGAGCGGCUGAGAGCAGGCUCAGUGUAGGAACCACUGUCCUUGGUCCUGAAUUCAAACGUCCUGUCCGAUGGAAUGCUGACGACUCCAACUCCGGGGGAACUCCCAGGAAAGGCAUGUCCACCCCGAAGGAAGGGCAGAGAUGGCAGACAAUGAGGGAGGUCCAAAGAGUUUACUUUCAGAGGUGGAGAGGCGAGGCAGGUGAAGGCCUGGAGUAAGGUCCGAAAAAGUCAGAUUCUUGGACGUGGUCGAAAGAAAAAUGGAACUAUGUGAAGGUGAGUACAACAGGGGGAUAGAGGGGAUAGCCAGGGAGUAUCUGUGACCACAGACAUUGUCAUUGUCAUGUGCCUGAACUCAGGAAUCACUGCAAUGGAGAGGUGUAUUCCACUCGUUCGAAAGUAGACACAACCCAGGAGGGCCAUGCUCUUCCAAAAAGAACCUUUUCAUUUCAUUAUUGAUUGAUUGAUUGAUUGAUUGAUUGAUUGAUUGAUUGUCCUGGUGAUUUGCUAGGAACCAGACAUAGCGAUGGAAGCAAGCAAUCUGGUUCCAUCAUCGAGGACUUUUUCAAUUUGAAGCACUGCUGACCAGUACACUUGUUGAGGGCCGUAGC